AGCUGUAUCACAAGUAGUUUCUGUUCUCAAAAGACCAGAUUCCUUGUGGACAGAACGUGGCAGAACAGUAUUUCAUGUCCCUUUCUACUGGAAUAUUCCGAUACACGUUUAUAUGACCACAAAUUCCGGUUAGAAAAGGAGUAACCCAGGGGUCUUAUUUGGGGUUUUAAAAACCGAAAUAUGAGCAUAUUCGGGUGUUUGCACGUGUUUACAUGGCUGUGCACAACCGGGUUAUUGCGAAUAUUCCGGUUAAGAAAGGGUUACUGCUGUGGCCCUCCAGGACCAGGAAUGCCCACCCCUGUUUUAGUCCCUUCUGUUUUCCCUUCAGUGGUUUAAUUUCUCUCUCUUUUGUCUUAAAUUGUGUUUUCCUUUUAUUUUCUCCCAUGUGCCCCUUCUUCUGUUUUCCCUGUGAGAAACAAAACUGGUGAGAACCUUGACAGCUGUGUUAUUUUGUCUCAAUAAUUUUCACAUUUGUUCACAGAAAAUGUUUUUAAUGCUUUAAAUUGAAGAAAGUUACUCAUUGGAAUUCUUCAUUGACCUUUGAGGUUUAGAUUCCUCCUCAAACAUGUUCUGUAUCUGCAGAUUGUUGGAGUUCUGAUGUUCACCUCAGUGAUUUAUCUGACAGUCAGCGUCACACAGUCGUUCAACCCCAUCUGGAUCGGAUUUAUUCUGAUGUGGCCGUGGAUCAUCACCUUGGCCACCCUCGGCCUCGCGGCUCUCGGCGCGUACGGCAGCAUCGCCGAGAAGACCGAACCGCUCCACGUGGUAGGUACCGGAGUGGAGGUCACGCUCUUCCUGGCUGGCGUGGCCUGUUGGAGCUAACAGCUGACUGUUCCUGUGGUUUCAGUUCUAUGUCCUGAUGUGGAUUAUCACGGCCAUCCUGGCGGUCUACGGCAUCCGUAUCAUCUUCGAGGUCACAUCUGCAAUACAACAGGGUUUGCUCAAGCCCUUGAGCAUUGCAAUGGGAAUCAUCUUUGGACUUGCUUCCUUGACGUUUGUGGGAGGCCUCUUUGCCAAGCUCCUGAUGAAUCAGAUCAAACAGCGCAGCCAUGUUCAGACUUCGAUCUGGCCAAUGGAUUCCAUUCCACUCUUGACCAGUGAAUGUUAAGACGAGCAACCUCUGCUACAUUUUACCAACUCAAUGCUUGUUUCAUGUCUCUGUAACAAAUGUCACAAUUUAAUAAAAUGGACACUUUUUAAUUUCAAUGAAAAC
Molecule: long non-coding RNA, 1213 nt
Filed under: Salarias fasciatus (jewelled blenny)
Lineage: Eukaryota; Metazoa; Chordata; Actinopteri; Blenniiformes; Blenniidae
Description: lncRNA (ENSSFAG00005000919.1)
Source: RNAcentral